GGGCCCGCACAAGCGGUGGAGCAUGUGGUUUAAUUCGAUGAUACGCGAGGAACCUUACCAGGGCUUAAAUGGGAGAUGACAGGGGCAGAGACGCCCUUUUCUUCGGACAUCUUUCAAGGUGCUGCAUGGUUGUCGUCAGCUCGUGCCGUGAGGUGUCAGGUUAAGUCCUAUAACGAGCGCAACCCCUACCGUUAGUUGCCAGCGAUUCAAGUCGGGGACUCUAACGGGACUGCCGGUGCAAACCGUGAGGAAGGUGGGGACGACGUCAAAUCAUCACGGCCCUUACGUCCUGGCUACACACGUGCUACAAUGGUCGGUACAGAGGGAAGCUACCCCGUAAGGGGAUGCGGA
Molecule: ribosomal RNA, 351 nt
Filed under: uncultured bacterium
Lineage: Bacteria
Description: bacterial SSU rRNA
Rfam family: Bacterial small subunit ribosomal RNA
Source: RNAcentral